Triticum aestivum (bread wheat) is the source of this 4126-nucleotide long non-coding RNA. RefSeq lists it as uncharacterized. NCBI's taxonomy places the organism in Eukaryota, Viridiplantae, Streptophyta, Magnoliopsida, Poales, Poaceae. The transcript is spliced from 4 exons. The record is from RefSeq and is a predicted model, not a curated record.
CUGGAAACCCACCCAGCCUUUUGCAGUUUUGCUAUGCCUGGCUCCUCCUAUGUCGCUGCUGCGCCGAAACAGAUCCAGAGAGAGGUGAGGGGGAUGAGCUCGAGCUCGAGCUCGGUGGAGGGAGGAGAUGGCCGGGAAGAGGAACCGCUCCAGCGGAGGAGAAGAGGGCGACGACGAGAGGAACCGCCCGGGGGAGGAGAAGAGCUCGAAGAAGAGGGGAACGCUUCCUCGCAUGGUACGGCGGCAAGGGUGGAAAUAAGACGGCACAUAAUUGGGAAACAAAAUUGAGACCAUUCGUUGAGCAGUGGAGAACAGCAAGCUUGGUUCACUGGCACGAGGAGGCGCUCUUCGACCGAGCUGCGCAUGAGGCUCACCUACGGUGGUACCGGCCACAGAUGAGAUUGCGCUGCAUACCAAGAGCUGACCCUGAGGACAUGGAGACGGCUCACACUUCGGCUUCGGAGACGUACUAGAGUUCUUCAGUGACCAGCGUCAUAGAUCACUCGGCCCAGUUGAUGCUGGAGGCUCAAGAGGAGACUGCCGUGAUAAUUAACCGAGUGACCAUGGGGAUCGAAAUGACUCCGUCCGAGAAUCUAGCAGCGUGGCAGCGUACUUAGAGCAAGCUGCGGAGGAUCUUCGAGACUUUGAGGCAUAGGGUGCAUCUGACACCCUGUCUAGUCGGGAAGCACACACUCCCCCAUGCCCCUCACACCGUGCUAGGCCGAUGUUCCAGCCAACGGUCCGCCUGCUGCCUCCACCUUCCCCUAUGCAGUCCGGUGGCUCCUCCUGGUACCACCAGCCUCACCCCCCUCCUGCUCAACUCUCAGUGAUGGUGACAACAGAUACUCCACCACCGCCGGCCUCACAGGUCACCCUGGCCAUGCCACCUCCGGCGCAAUCCCAUACCCGCAAGAGACAUCGCCAUCCUACUCGUAGUCGUAGAAGUGCUGCGCAGGGUUGUGGACAGCGAGGACAGGAGGACGAAACAGGUGCUUAGGACGAACAGACGGUUAGUGGUGUCCCACUAUGUGAUUUGACUUUCUUGACUUCAUUAUAUCCAUAUAUGUAGCACUAUUCAACUUUGUGGUAAAAAGCACAUAUUCCUUUUAAUAAAACUAUAAAGACACAUAUUCAACUCUGCAGACAUUAUAGUAGCAUGAUGCAUCCUUAGGCAGACUCCUUUGAGAAACAAUACAAUACUUCAAAUAAACAGCAGAGCGAUUCCUUUCGGAUUUUUCUCUGAUAAAUGGCAAAUAUUAUUACAUUACCAGAAGUUCAAGAGAGAAAUGAAAAAUAUCUUCAAAACAAUUAACUUUGUUUAAACACACAAGGCAUACUGCGGAUAUGCAGUGCCUUCAGCUCAUUCAGUUUGUUCACUCUAGAAAACUUCAUCUGCUUUAAAUUUCGCCAUCCCAAAGGUCCUCCAAGGUUUUGUAAACGCUUAGAGGGUGAACCGCAAAUUCCCCUUUCAUCAACCUUGCCUGCAUUUUUCAAGUCAAACCAGAUAUCAGAUGUGAAUAAUGAGAGUGUAAGGACUGGAGCUAUCCAAUGAUAUAUUGCCGAGAAAAGAAUGGUCUUGAUCUUUGAAGUAUUGUCGAUUUUCAAGUUAUGUUAGAUAACAGAAGGAACAAGCGUUAAGACUUCAGACAUGCCUGUUUGAUUUCGGAGAACUUUGCCAUUAAAUCUUCAGGAAUGGACCACUCAAAUAUGUCAAAGUUCUCCUUAAUCCUUGCUUCAUUGGUGCUUUUUGGAAGUACACUCUGACCCAUUUGAAGACACCAGCGUAAGGCAACCUGAGCAGGCGUUUUCUGCAACUUCUCAGCAACAGAGAUGACAAUAGGAUUGCUAAGGACGAUAGCCCCACUGACCCCAGGUAGAGAUGAUCCAGGCGAACCUAAUGGCGAAAAUGCCUGCAAGUGACAGUUUAUUUCAACACAUGGAAGCGGCGCAGUACCGAUUAUCAACAAACCAAGAUAGCAGCUUACAAAACUGAAAGAAAUGCUACAGCAUUAGACAUAUCAAGCUUACAGAAAGAUGAACACCCCUCGAAUGGCAUAGUUUUUGGAGCUUGUCUUGCUGCCAAAUCAGAUGACAUUCAACCUGGUUGACUGCUGGAGGCACACGUGCAAUGGCAAGCAAAUCCUCAAUCUUCUUGCAAGAGAAGCUACUCACACCAAUUGCUCGAGCUUUGCCAGAGUCGUAUAGCUUCUCCAUCGCUUCCCAUGUAGCAGGAAUAUCAGGUGGGAGAAUGUUUUCAUGGCUCGGCGUAGUCCCUUUCUUCAUGGCUCGGCGUAGUCCCUUUCUUCACUGUUAAAAAAAAGUCAGCUAUUAGUAUAGAAUGGGGACUGCUGCCAAUUUAUGCAAGAACUAUGGCAUAGAUAUCCAAUCUGGUAAUUCUAGUAUGAUUUCUUCUUUUGGAUUGCAACUAAUAUGUAGUGACUAUAGGCUAGCACUGUAUAAGAAUAGGGCCAAGCCAUACGGAAAAUAAUUGGGAACUCAUGAUAUUGUUUGCUCCUUCCAUUUCAAUGUUCAGUUAAUUAUAGGCACAUCUACAUAUAUACCAGUUAAUUAAACGGAUAAUUGAGUUUAAUACCAAGGAUAGGAAUUUACAAGGAACAAAUCUAAGAAGCCAAGGUGCAAAUCUUUAAGAGUAGUGUCAAUUGCCUCCGGCACAUCUUCAGGUGCAUGAUCACCAAACCUGGAUAAUUCAGAGGCAAGACGGGAAUUAUUUCACAUGUUCCUUUAACCGAGGCUGGGAAAUGAAGCCUAACCAUAGCUUAGAGGUGACAAACAAGUCUUCACGCUCAAUCACACCAUCCUCAAACAAUUUCUUUAAAGCCAAGCCAACCUACACAAGUAAUUAAUACUUCGAUUUAGUUAGAAAUAUUUCCAAAUCAAAAUAAUAACAUUUGAACUCUAGAAGGCUUCUUGAAAUGUGUGCUUGUUAUUUCCACUUUCAUUGAUACUCCCUCCGGUCCUUUUUAGUCCGCAUAUAAUUUUGUCCAAAGUCAAAGUAUGUCUAUUUUGACCAAAUUUAUAAAAAUACGUAUCAACAUUCACAAUGCCAAAUCAACAUUGCUAGAUUCAUUAUGAAAUGUAGUUUCAUAGUAUAUAUAUUUGGUAUUGUAGAUGUUGAUAUUUUUUAAUAUAAAUUUGGUCAAACUUUGUAAAGUUUGACUUGACGCAAAUCUAAUACGCGGAGUAAAAAGGACCGGAGGGAGCAUAUACUACUUUGCACACCCUUUUUGCCAUCUCAUUGUUUGUCCCUGCAUCUAAAUUUCAGAGCUGAAGUAUUUCCUUCUCACUUGUCCCUUUUAAAAGCAUGCUCUUCAUGUCGUAGAAUUCAAAUAUUUAGACCAACAUGAUAUUCAUGUGGGAUUAAACAAUCAUGGACUAGUGAAACAUACACGAACUAUUGUUCUGCUGACUAAUCAGUCCAAAUGAAGUAUUUAACCCGUUACAAAAAAAAGAAAAGAAGAAACGGGUUGCAGCAUGCACAUUGAGCUAUUGAAGGGACAUACAUGCGACCGAAUACUGUGGUGCAAGUAUAAUUACUAAUACCUGUUUUUGUUGUUGUUGAGAGAACUAAUUAAUAUACCUGUUUCUGAUUGUGGUAUGCUGGAGCACAAUCGAUAUGCCGAUAUCCAGCCUGCCAGAAAAGCAUGAAGCUUUCAGAAAGGAAAACAAGGGAAAUAUAUCUGAUAUUAUCUCAGAACUUCAUAACACAAGCACGUGUUUGUUGAAGUGAGCAGGUAAUACCCAAAGAUUCACAAACCAUCAAGGAUGAUUAAAGCGACAGGAAAUGACCUUGACAGCAGCGUAGAUGGCGUCGCCGACAACAUCAGGCUCUAUCUGCCAUGUGCCGAGGCCGAUCGGUGGGAUCCUUGCGCCGGUGUUCAGGAUGAAGGACCCGGCCAUCUUUGGAGCAAGGCAGGAGAGGAAGAAUAUGGAAGAUGAUGGGUACGGUGGGCCUGGGUUUGGUUGUGGGGGUAUACCUAUUCGUUCUACAGCAACUACACAUAUAUUGUAUGCGACCCAGUGACCUGCUCACACUCCAUUAUCAGUGAUAGUAUAUAUAAGAUUAUAAAGGGUGACUGACCGACCGACCGACGGAUGAUUUUGUUUC